UCUGUUGUGUAAAGGGAAGGAGCAAGGUGACAAGAAGCCAGACCGGGAACUAGAGUGCUCUCUUCUGGGAUGCUUCGUCUGUGGCCGAGCCCUUGCCAAGGACAUCGCUGGCCUCUGGACAAGGGCUUUCCGAGCACGUUCUGUUGCACACGGUUCCGCUCACAACUUUAUGCAUCCUGGUGCAUCUCCUGUGAACAGUACUGGGAACAGAGGCACAGCUCCGCACUGCCACCUGCAUCAGCCUGGGGGAUUCUGGUAAUCUUUUAGCGGCCUUGGGUAAAACCGGAUCCGUGGCUUCAACCAGAAAAAUAAAUAAAUAAAUAAAGUUGAGCCAAUGUUAAAGGAGCUGCCAUGAAAAAUGGAAAGAAUGCCGCUCAGGGAAGAGUGAGUCAUGAGGAAAGCGUGGACGAUGUUUUUAACAGAUUCUAACCAGGCAUGUUGAGAGAAAGUGAGAUGCUUAGGGAAACAAUAAGAUACACUCAAGUGUGGGCAUGGGCUUCUCAAGGGAGAGUUGCCAUUAAACGCCUCAGCAGUUGCUGUAUUUGCCAUUUUAGUGGCUUCCAGUUUACAUCUGAAAGGGCUGCUGAGAUUUUCUUUUCUCCAUUUCUUACUUUGUGUGUGUUCGCGCGCACACACACAUGCGAGUGCACGUGCGCUCGCUCACGCAUGCAACAAGUGCAUGCAGGAUACCCUCAGAAGCCAGAAGAGGGCACUGAUUGGAUCCCCUAGAACUGGAGUGAACUCUCCUGGGGGAGCUGGGACUUGAACACCAGUUCUCUGGAAGAGCAACCAACGCUCUUAGUCACUGAGCCAUUUCUUUUCUGGCAUUUAUUUAUUUAUAUUAAUAAAAGCAGCUCCAGAGGUGUCUCUGAUGGAAUAACAAUCGGAUAAACCAAAACCAAGAAUCUCUAGGGGUGUAUAAGGGGGGUGGGAAGUACCUUUUACAAUGAAAGCGGUUGGGUUAAGAUUCCUAGAAAAUGUGGGUUUAAAGCUGGGAAAAGAGCAAAGCCUUAAUAAAUACUCAUUGUGUUAGAAUUAUUUUUUAAAUUUAUUAUUGUUGUUGUGUAUAUGUUGUGUGAAUGCAGGUGUGUGUGUGUGUGUGUGUGUGUGUAUACCAUGGCACACAUACGGAGGUUAGAGGAAAAUUUUCCCAAACUGUUUCUCGCCUUCUGCCACAGGAUGCAGAGAUUGAAUUUGUUGCUUAGCGAGUGUUUUUACCUGCUGAGAAGCAUUGUCAUCACUGUGUUGGGAAAUCUGACUCUCAGCUCGCUGAAGACUUCAACCAGACUCUGGAGUGAGGGGGUCCCCUCCUUUUCACGUACAUAACUUUCCCUAUCUUUCAAUUCUUCCACAGCCAAUGUCUCAAACCUGAGCAAGUGUGUGUGUGUGUGUGUGUGUGUGUGUGUGUGUGUGUGUGUGUGUGAUAGUGAACCGCAGGUCAAAGCCAGGCACUUUCAAGCGCUUUGCACCUAUGCCAGUGGCCAGAUGUGGUCGGGUUCUGCGAGGAGUUCCAGCCUUCCUAUCUGCCAGCUUUCUCUUUACAUUUGCUGAUGUUGCAGCCUCUGUGAGGAUCCUCAAAUGCACGUCUCUGUCCUGUUCCAUAUCACACUCACGUCCCCGUCGGCUGACAUCUUCUGUCCCAAGGUAUCUUGCCUCCCAUAAAAUAAUAAUAAUAAUGUAUUAUGUAUUAAUGUAUUGCGUAUAAUUAAUUUUAAUUACUACAAUAACAUAAUAAUGUUACAAUUGAUAAUUACUCAUUAUAAUUCAUAACAAUAUUCUUCUUAUUAUAGUAACAAAUUCUUAUCUGAGGCAAGAUAGAAAGCCUGGAAACUGUGGGGGCUUGGAAAGGAGAGAUUGCAGCCUUCUGCCAAGGGAUAGUCAUGGAGACCAGCACAGUCAGCAACAUUUGCUAUGACCAUAGCUAACAAUGUAUACAAACUGUUUUUCCUUUAAAUUAUUUUUUAUUUAUUCUUUGAAAAUUUCAUAUAUAUAUAUAUGCAAUCUAUUUUUACAAUGUUAACCAUUCCUUUCUGGUAUUUGUUUUUACGCCAUGAUGUUUUCAAAGCGGAGUGUUAAAGCAGCAAUACAGCAGAUGAAGCCGUUCCAGCAAGUGGAAAUGCCAGCUCAUGGAUCACCGUCCUCGGUGCUAAGGAUGGACUUCUGGGACUAAGCAGUCACAGCGCAGAGUCACAUCCCCAGGGAAGUGCACAGAUUAUCUUCACACAAACCCACUAGGGAGGCUGUACUAGCUCCUCAAGCCACAGAUAACGCUCUCUGAAACCCCAGCUUGGCUCCCGAGUCCCGGGAAGUUUCCUUUGCCAUUCUGGAGAAGUGAUGUGCGGAGACCUCUCACAUACCCCAGAGAGGCAGGCACAGGGAUCCUUCGUGACAGCUUCAUUGGUCAGCUGCGGGGCAGCAGGCCAGGGUGGUGGGCCUUUCUCUUGUGUGGAUUCUUACGAGUUCGCUGGUCCCCGCGGUUUUCUUGGCCGGAAGGAUCCUGCUGCCCAGUGAAAAGCUCAGCAAAACGACGCUGCUCCAAAAAGCAACCAAACACCUCUGUGCUUGUUUUUGUUUUAUUUGCCUUGCCUUCUGUUUGUCUUAAUUUGAUUUUUUUUAAUCCUUUUUACUUCUUCCUUCUUUGUAGUAGUUUGAAGGAUCUGUCCCCCAUAGUCUUGAGCGUUGAAUACUUGGUCCCGCAGCAGGCGGCACUGUUUGGGAAAUUUAGGAAGUCUGCCUUACUCUAGGAAGCAUGUCACUGGAGAUAGGCUUUGGGGUUCAAAUGUCACAUGCUACUCCCAGUUCUCCCUCCCUUAACUUAAAUGUGACAAGUACAGCACUGUCAUGCUGCUUCUCUCUAUACUCCGAACGCUAGAUCAGUAAGUAAAUGAAUGCGCAUA
Molecule: long non-coding RNA, 2897 nt
Organism: Mesocricetus auratus (golden hamster)
Lineage: Eukaryota; Metazoa; Chordata; Mammalia; Rodentia; Cricetidae
Exons: 3
Source: RefSeq, a predicted model, not a curated record